GAUGAAGAACGCAGUGAAAUGCGAUAAGUAGUGUGAAUUGCAGAAUUCAGUUAAUCAUCGAAUCUUUGAACGCACAUUGCGCCCCUUGGUAUUCCAUGGGGCAUGCCUGUUCGAGCGUCAUUUGUACCUUCAAGCUUUGCUUGGUGUUGGGUGUUUGUCCUGAGGGACUCGCCUUAAAGUAAUUGGCAGCCAGUGUUUGGUUUUGAAGCGCAGCACAAGUCGCGAUUCAAGGCUAUACACCAGCUUCCACAAGCCUUUUUCACUUUUGACCUCGGAUCAGGUAGGGAUACCCGCUGAACUUAAGCAUAUCAAUAAGCGGAGGA
Molecule: unclassified non-coding RNA, 323 nt
Filed under: soil metagenome
Description: partial contains 5.8S ribosomal RNA, internal transcribed spacer 2, and large subunit ribosomal RNA
Rfam family: 5.8S ribosomal RNA (bases 1-120)
Source: RNAcentral